RNAcentral lists this long non-coding RNA (414 nucleotides) under Brassica napus (rape). Its description in RNAcentral is "long non-coding RNA (BNAP_LNC000798)". Lineage: Eukaryota; Viridiplantae; Streptophyta; Magnoliopsida; Brassicales; Brassicaceae. The record is from RNAcentral.
GAUUGACCCAUCUGUUGAUUAAGAUAAUUGACUAUUUUAAGCUUGUAAUGGAAGCUUCAAGCUUGAUGUAUUUAUGCAUAUUUUUUGUUAAACAAAUCGAAACAGCUUUGGGAAACUGAGUAAGAAUAUAUGAAACCAUCAAAGGAGAACAGAAGAGAAGAGAAGAGAUAGAGCCAAGAGUGAUACAACAUCGUCCACUUUUUCUCCUCUCAGUAUUGCCCUCUCUCCUCCUAAAAUUACCCUCUCUCUCUCUCCUCUCUCCUCUCAGCAUAGCCCUCACUCUCAUCUCUUCUCCCAACAUCGUCUUCUCUCACCUAUCUCCGCAUCCAGCAUCUUCCGUACAUUUUCUGAGAAUCGCCCAUUGCCUCCUCUCUUGUUCAGCAUCACAUUUAACUCCUCCUCACUCCUCACCAU